GUGCUCCCUUCGGCAGCACAUACACUAAAAUUGGAACAAUGCAGAGAAGAUUAGCAUGGCCCCUGCGCAAGGAUGGCACACAAAUACGGGAAACGUUCCAUAUUUUU
Myotis daubentonii (Daubenton's bat) is the source of this 107-nucleotide small nuclear RNA. Lineage: Eukaryota; Metazoa; Chordata; Mammalia; Chiroptera; Vespertilionidae. The record is from RefSeq and is a predicted model, not a curated record.